Eucalyptus grandis is the source of this 1714-nucleotide RNA transcript. It is a transcript of the gene named histone-lysine N-methyltransferase SUVR4-like, with no coding region annotated. Lineage: Eukaryota; Viridiplantae; Streptophyta; Magnoliopsida; Myrtales; Myrtaceae. The record is from RefSeq and is a predicted model, not a curated record. The transcript has 6 exons.
CGGGAAGACAACUAGGCUUGUGAAAUCUCAUGCCUGACAGCACAAUUUUGCAUGACACUUCUGACCUGCAUGUCAAGAGAAAACGCAAGAUUGAAGAAGCCCAUGGGUUAACAAGAUUGAUGAGCAGUGUCCACCAUCCUUUCACUACAUACCUCAUAGCCUCGCUUUCUCUAGUGCUUCUAUCAAUUUCUCCCUUUCUGAGAUCGGAAAUGAGAAUUGCUGUUCAAAUUGUUAUGGUGACUGCCUGCCUUGUCCAGUACCCUGUGCUUGUGCAUGUGCAAAUGGGGGUGAGUUUAUAUACACUGUGAAAGGUCUUGUAAAGGAAGCUUUUUUGUUGAAGUGUAUUUCUGUCAAUCGCGACCCUAAAAAGAGCCACCACUUAUAUUGUUGGGAAUGCCCUCUAGAAAAGUCAAAAGAUAACAACAUUUUAGAACCGUAUACGGGCCACCUGAAGAGAAAAUUUAUCAAACAGUGCUGGAGAAAGUGUGGUUGUGGUAAACAUUGUGGCAAUCGAGUGGUGCAGCGGGGCAUAAGUUAUAAUAUGCAUGUAAAGAAUUGUUUUCGUGUUAUUUUAAAGCUUUUGCCUGUUGUAGCUCUACUGUCAUAUUUGGACCUUGUGGUGGUUAUCAUUCUUAAAAGUGUUCCAGUUACUACUGCAGUGAGUGACUUUGUUUCGGAACCCUUAAGCUUAAGCCUGUACUCUUUUGUGACUGAUUUUGUCCUUUAGGUGUUUAUGACGCCUGAAGGAAAAGGGUGGGGUCUGCAAGCACUGGAUGAACUGCCUAAAGGUGCAUUUGUAUGUGAGUACAUAGGUGAAAUAUUAACCAUCAAGGAAAUGCAUGAGCGAAAUUUGAAGAAGGGUGACGCUGCGAAACGUACUUAUAAGGUGCUCCUUGAUUCUGAUUGGAGCUCCAUGUGUGUGAAGGAUGAUGAAGCUCUUUGUUUGGAUUCAACGACCUUUGGAAACAUUGCUAGGUUUAUCAACCAUAGGUCAAAGUUCUCAACAAACUUGCUUCAACUCGAGCUUUAGGAGUAGGUAGCGGCAGCAGAGUCUUGACAGAUUUGGUAGAGGGUCUAGAAGAAGCAGCCGUUGCUGUAGAAUUGAGGUUGAAGAUCAACCAGAGUCAUCCGGACUUAAAGGGAGGAUCUUUCUGAGACUAUGGAGAGGCAGUGUUGAAGCACUUGGAGAACUCUAUUGAUUUGGACCCAAAGCUUCAGAAAGCUCCAGUAAAUUAUAAAGGAGUCCAGGUAUCUGGGUUUGGAGGAUGGUUCCUUCUGAGGCUCUCGCUUUAUGAUCCUGUUCUUCCUCUUAACAUUGAGGCACCAACUCACGAUGACGCUGUAAAACUUGGACUUGCUGUGCUUGGGGCUAUUAAGGAGUUUGCAGCUUUGGAUACAUCCGCUUUAGACAAGUUUGUUCAAGUAUCAUGAGCCGAUGAUGCAGAGCGCUUUGGUACAAGUAUCUUUCGGCACAUUAGACUAGCAGUUAAAGUUGGCUUUGGCGUCUACCUCUGUACAGUACGUAUAAUCAGUGCGUCAAUCUCUGAUGCUGAGGAGGUUCAUUUUCCAGAUGGUUUUGGUCACAGGCACUCAAAAUAGUACUUGAUGGCUAUGUUUACUUUAGUUUUUACUUAUGUUCCAUGUAUGCAACAGGGAUGUUCUGAUAAAUAAGAAACGUUCUUCGACUACAGAAUUUGUCGGAGGGAUGUUUGAA